ACGCUCGACACCUACGGGAGCAGCAGUGGGAAUAUUGCACAAUGGGGAAACCCUGAUGCAGCGACGCCGCGUGGAGGAAGAAGGUCUUCGGAUUGUAAACUCCUGUUGUUGGGGAAAAAGAGGAUGGUACCCAACAAGGAAGUGACGGCUAACUACGUGCCUGCAGCCGCGGUAAUCUGAGCGGGCUGGCAAGGC
This 195-nucleotide ribosomal RNA is filed under the name uncultured bacterium. RNAcentral's name for it is "partial 16S ribosomal RNA". It matches the Rfam family "Bacterial small subunit ribosomal RNA", at positions 328 to 539 of the family's 1533-position model. The record is from RNAcentral.